Long non-coding RNA from Macaca fascicularis (crab-eating macaque), 2054 nucleotides. NCBI's taxonomy places the organism in Eukaryota, Metazoa, Chordata, Mammalia, Primates, Cercopithecidae. The record is from Ensembl.
GGUAUAUUUAGAAAAUGAAAUAUUAAUCACCUCUGAAAAGAAAUGAGCUAUUACUAACUGCGUAUUACAUACUAAAUGCAUAUUACUAACUGAAAGAAGCCAACCUGGAAAGUUAUCUACUCUAUGAUUCCAAGUAUAUAACAUUCAGAAAAAUGCAAAACUAUGGAGAGUGAAAACAUUUGUGGUUUCCAGUGGUUAGGAAAAGAAAGGAUAAAUAAAUGGAGCACAAGAUUAUUACAGUAGUGAAAAUAUACUGCACGAUAUCAUAACAGCUAUAAUACAUUCAUCAUAUAUUUCAUUCUCGUUAUACAUUUUCCAAACCCUUAGAAUGUGUGCCACCAAGAGUAUCGCUCUGGGUGAUGAUGUGUCAGUGUAAGUUCACUGACUAUAAUAAAUAUUCUACUCUGGUGUAAGAGGUUGUUUGUGGAGUGACCCGAAAGUGUACAGGAAUUGAGGGUAUAUGGCAAUGCUGGACUCUGCACUCCAUAUUGCUGUACACUCAGAUCUACUCUAAAAUAAUAAUGAAUCUUUAAAAAUCUAUUACUAUCAUGUAGCCCUUUUAAAGUCUCCAACUGGUCUGAGCCCAUUCUAUUAAGUCUCAGAAAACACUCGUUAGUAACUAGCUCUAACCCAACUGGCAAGAAGAGGCAGAAAAGACCCAGGGCAGGGGAGUAUAUUGCACAUGCAUACACCAGGAAACUGGAGGAAGCUUGGAGGCCCUUGAGCCUGGUCCUGAGCCCAUUGAAACUGGAGUUAUAGGCACAGAUGCCUGGGCACUAAUCUGAAUUUGCCAACAUCCAAGGCCAUAUGAACACAAAUGCGCAGAGUCUCCACUGCAAUCUGUAGCUAAGGAUGUUAGGCCAUGAUUGGACUAGGAUGGGAGAUGAACUGAGGACAACAGAUUCUGUAGACUUUUGUUGCCUCUUCCCAGCCCCAAGCAUUUCACUCUUUCCUCUUGCCACAGGCAGCAGGGGGGCUCCCUAUGAACAUCAUCCCCACAGCCUAUAGUUGUGUCACCUUCAGUCUCUUAUACCCUCCUACGGCACAGUCAGUCAGGACAUCCAGCCUUGCAAACUCAAGGGUCCACACAUGGCCAAGAUAAUGGGGUGAGCAGAACCCUCACCUUUGAUCUGCAGACAAAUACCCCCUACCUUCUGGGCCUCUACCAGCAAUUGGAGGCCCUGGAAAUUUCCAGACACACACCAGUGUUCUGAACUGCAGGCUGCUGUCCCAUCCUAUGGCAGAGUAGACCUUUUCUUCUCCAGAAUUACCGUUAUCCAGUUGAAUGAAAUGUCUUUUUAACAUAGAAACAGGGCACAGAAACUAGUGUUCCUUGGCCCUGAAACCCAUCACACUGUCUGCAGGUAUACACCUGUCCUUAGCAAAUACCACAGAUUUGAGGAUUCAGUCCCUGGAGUGUGGUCAUUGGCUCUGCUUUCAGAAAACAUCAAGGUACCUUUGGCAAGUCUGCAGACUUCAUGAAGAAAAACAAAAACGUAAACAAAACCAAGUGAUGAACACGCACACACACACACACACACACACACCCCGCAAAGUAACUAACAGGAUGUCCCUCCAGGACAUUUGCAGAGAGGGGAGAAGAAAACAUCCCAGGGCCCUUUCACAGCUACUUCCUUGAGCCCCUUUUCUGACAGUGCUGUCUAGACCUGUCUCAGCCCAAGCACCGCCACCCUGAUAUGCAGGAGCUGGCUUCCUGACCUGAAAUUCAACAUCAAGAAAUGAUCUCUUGGCCAGGCGUGGUGGCUCAUGCCUAUAAUCCCAGCACUUUGGGAGGCUGAGGCAGGUGAAUUGCCUGAGGUCAGGAGUUUGAGACCAGCCUGACCGACAUGGUGAAACCUCAUCUCAACUAAAAAUUUAAAAAACUAGCAGGACGUGGUGGUGUGCCCCUGUAAUCUCAGCUACUUGGGAGGCUGAGGCAGGAGAAUCACUUGAACCUGGGACGCAGAGGUUGUAGUGAGCGGAGACUGGGCCAUUGCUCUCUAGCCUAGGCAACAAGAGCAAAAUUCCAUCUCAAAAAAAAAAAAAAAGAAAAA